Molecule: long non-coding RNA, 1404 nt
Filed under: Phasianus colchicus (ring-necked pheasant)
Lineage: Eukaryota; Metazoa; Chordata; Aves; Galliformes; Phasianidae
Description: lncRNA (ENSPCLG00000010666.1)
Source: RNAcentral
UGCUGCUUCCCUCCUCCUUACGCGUGAGAGCACCUGAGGCUGCUCCCGGGGAGGGGGUGGGGGGUGGAAGCAAGAGGAGGAGGGGGAGGAGAAGAAGGAGGAGGACGAGGAGGAGGAGGAGGAGGCGGCGGCGCCGGGGAGGAGCUACCUGAGGAGGCCAUUUGUCGGGGAGGAACGCGGCCGUAGGGGUUUCCUAGCUGGGGCUCGCAGCAUGGUUUGAAGGCAGCCAGGAAGGAUCUUUAAUGGCUCUCCUGGAAGAUGUUCAGCAGCCACUCCCACUGAGUGCAUCGAAUGCUUACACACGGCUCCAGAAGCAAUCUGCAGUGAAGUAUAAGUCUGCAGGGAUUUCAAACCCAAGCACUGACUUGGAGCAGUGGGUUCCUACUUGGAGGGCACCCAGCUGAGAUUAAUGCAGUGUACAUAGCCUGUGCACACAGCAGAAACACAUCGGAAUCACAUCUGCUUCAAAAGUUCCUACAGCCAGACUGCUGUAAGACCUGGGGAAACCAUUCCACGUGCCUGUGCUGAAGCAUUCACUUUUGACCACUGUGAGGACAGUGAAGAAAACGGACCCUCUGUGACUGCUCCUAAAUGCCUCGGGGUGCCCAGUACCAGCCAGUAUUGGGCUCACACGGCUAAGUGUUCAGACAUUUAGGUUCAGCUCCUGUGUUCCUGUCUGCUCUCCUGCCGUCGCCUUGUUCCCUUUGGCUCCUCAGCUCUGUAUGGGAGCAUCACAUCUUCCUGUCGUCCACAAACCUACGGCCUGGGAUCUGUUUUCUUUGUAACGAUACGGCGACAUAUAUAAAGCAGCUGACAUCAGUUCUGAGAAUAUUUUCUCGUAGGUGGAACUAUUAUGUUCACGGUGCUGUAACGCAGAGGCAGUGAUUUGCUAUGCUAAUAAGUCGCUGAAGGAAAACACGGGAAUUAUUCUGACGACGUCUUAUUCCCCUCUAGUGUACGUGGUUGAAAAAGACCAAAGGGCAACAGUGGAUCAGCAAUUAGAGACGGCACUUCUGCUGGGAGCUGUGAAGGAGGUGGGAGGCUGCGGGUUUCUGUUUCUGGAAGGUUCCGUGCUGCUGUUCUGCUGAAGUGCAGAUUGCUGGGCCUCGAGGGCUGCGUGGAAUCCCCAAACUCAGAGCUGUGGGGCUGCGGCACUGAGGGAUGGGCUCAGCGGGCACGGUGGGGGGCUGAGGGCGCUUCUGCAACCUUCGUGGCUGUGUGGUGAUGAAGUACGUGAUAAUGUGUUCGCUCUGGGCUGUGCCUGGUUGCUGAAACGUGGCUUUGAUCCCCAAAAUGUGGCUCUGAUCCCCAAAAUGUGGCUCUGGUUCUUAAACACGGCUCUGUCCAUCUGCUGUGACAAACGCACAGCCAAACCCGAACUUCUUCUUCUUCUGAUCCCUUCCU